This 415-nucleotide unclassified non-coding RNA is filed under the name Hevea brasiliensis (rubber tree). The record is from RNAcentral. Lineage: Eukaryota; Viridiplantae; Streptophyta; Magnoliopsida; Malpighiales; Euphorbiaceae.
GUAAUGCAUUCGAAUGAUAUGAUUUGACAAUCAUUUUGGUCAAUGCUUUAUCCAAUGCUACAUUCAUAAUUCUAGGAGAUUUAAAAUCCUUAUAUCAUUUCCAAGGAAGGGAAAUCAGAGAAAUUCAAUGUCCUUCCUAUGCUGCCUUUUUUAUCGUUUAAUAGCAACAAAUUUGGCUUUGUAUGCUUUCCUUUCUCAAUAAAUAUAAUGUUGGUCACAUCCUUGCUUCUUUUCUAUGUAUAUAGGUCUUUUGCAUUUUGGUGAUGAUGCCACACUUUACUGUGACAGCCUCUUUAAGAUAUAAGAGUGCUUAUUCUUCAUUACAAAACUUAUUCUUUUGCUCUUCCCGCCAUUUUUAUCUUAUAUCUACUGUUGUUGUGCUUCUUUUUCGGUUGUCUAAUGUGUUCUUAGAUAG